This 744-nucleotide ribosomal RNA is filed under the name uncultured bacterium. RNAcentral describes it as "bacterial SSU rRNA". It matches the Rfam family "Bacterial small subunit ribosomal RNA", at positions 70 to 807 of the family's 1533-position model. The record is from RNAcentral.
GCACUUGAGCUUGCUCCGCUGCCGAGUGGCGCAACGGGUGAAAAUGCCGCAGAGCGUGCCGUGCCGGGGGGGAUAACCUGUCGAAAGGGGCGCUUAUACCGCGUACGUACUGUGGGAGAAAGGGGGGGACCGCCAGGCCUUGCGCUAUUGGAGGGGUCGAUGUCUGAUUAGCUAGUGGGUGAGGUAAGGGCUCAUCAAGGCCACGAUCAGUAGGAUGUCUGACAACAUGAUCCCUCACACUGGGACUGAAACCCGGCCCAAACUCCUACGGGAGGAUAUUGUGGGGAAUUUUGGACAAUGGGCGAAACCCUGAUCCUGCCAUGCCGCGUGCGUGAAGAAGGCCUUCGGGUUGUAAAGGACUUUUGUCUGGGAGGAAAAGCCCGGCGCUAAUAGACGUUGCUGAUGAAAGUACCACCAGAAUACUCACCGGCUAACUCCGUGCCAAUACCCGCGGUAAUACCUAGGGUGCAAGCGAUUAUCGGAAUUACUGGGCGUAAAGCGUGCGCAGGCGGUUUGUUAAGACACAUGUGAAAUCCCCGGGCUCAACCUGGGAACUGCAUUUGUAACUGGCAAGCUAGAGUGGGGCAGAGGGGGGUGGAAUUCCGCGUGGAGCAGAGAAAUGCAUAAAUAUGCGGAGGAACACCGAUGGCGAGGGCCACCCCCUGCGCCUCACACUGACACUCAUGCGGAAAAGCGUGGAUAGCAUACACGGAUUAGAUCCCCUCGGUAGUCCACGCCCUAAAC